ACCAAGAAUCCAAGAACGAUUAUAAAAACUAUUAAAUAGCAACUCAUUUUACUUUAAAAAAGCGUGGUUACACACACUUUUUAUCUUAUGAAAUGCCGAGGUGACAAGUCUAUGUAAAAAAGGAUAGGGACACUACGUUGUAAAAGACUGGAAAUGUUCUUUUAGUUCUCCUCCUACUUGUUAAAUUUGUAUCUUGAUAAUCAAAAGAAUUAAUGAGAAAAUGGUUAAUAAAUCAUUCAUUUCGAUAGCCCUUGCCAAGAUCUUCUUUUUCCACCUAAUCCUAGUUCGGGAAAAAGGCCUUUGUGUCUAUUAGGCACCGCCCUUUAAAAGCAACAGACUUCGUGUGUUGACAUGAUUUAUGUGCGUAUAUAGUCACUCAGCACCAAUAUAGACCUGACAGUGUUUGUAAACGAACGCUAUCAAGUAAGUUAUACAAUUAAAAUUCCAUAUCAUAAGCACUGAACCCUCUCAAAUGGAGAGGCAGGUAUUAACCAAAUUCUUUCUAAGGGCUUUUCCCUUGAAAUUUGGAAGAGGGGGAAACGUACGAGGUUGGCAGGCAAUCGCUGGAACUUGAGUCAUGGCAAUGCUUUAGCCUCGACCACACUUGGGCGUUUUCGUAUGAAAACGCAUUCUUUUUGAUGCGUUUUUGCCUAAGGUCUACACUAAAAUGACUGAAAACGCUGAUCAAAACGAGGCUCUCGAAAACUGUUUCAAAAGUGGAGCCUUUUGAAAACGCAUCGUUUUGUAAACGCUCCGUCUCUAGUUUGGAUAGGUGAAAACGGUGCCGAAAAAAGUGUCCGCACAUACAUUGUCGUUUCCAUCAGCGUUUUCGAGCCUUGUAGUGCGGACGACAGGCGAAAACGUAUCAAAAGAUAUGCGUUUUUAUUCGAAAACGCAGUAGUGUGGAGAGGAGAAAACAAACCGAAAACGCUAGUUUGGGCAAAAAUAUUUUACUACGCUGUUUUCGUUGGGACGAAAACGGGAUACUUUUACAGCCGCAUUAGUGCGAUCGGGCCUUAGAAUUCUGCAAAUGUUUAGCGAUGUGAGAGUUCUUACCCGUAUUCAGUAAGGUGUCCACGGGCACGUGCUGAAAAGUGUCGGGUAGUUUCACCGACAUAGUUGGCAUCACAGCCUGCACUAGAAAAUUUAUACACAACGCUUGAACGAGGAGAAGUUUAAUCUAUAAACAAAUAAACUAAUUCCAGGGUCAGCCUUCGUCGUUGCGCAGAUGGUAAAUUUUGUUUCUCUUAUUAAUUUUUCUUCGUUAUGCAUGAAUGUAAGUUUUCGAGUUGUUAUAUAUUUCUUGAAUGCUGUCAUAUAAUUGGAUCGCUGUAAGUUCGCUGUAAGCAUUUGUGUACGUUUAAUAAGGAUACCCAAGAGACAGUGUCUUUUCUCUUAGGAUACCCUAAAACCCCAAGACAAGGGUGGCACCACUGCCAUGGUCGGGGUUACACGUUCCCCUUUAUUUUUCAACAUGCUACUGAGUUUUGAGGAGUUUUCGUGUCCGGCCUUGGUGCACGUAGAUUUGACACUUCAGUGAUAGUUUGCGGAUCCUUAAGGGUAACUGAUCCGCUGAGAUUGAAUAAAUGGCACGGUAGCUUGGCUGGCCAACGCUCGCAAUUCAAUCAUGACGCGUGUCCGGAUGCGUAUAGUGGAGGCAAAAUAUGUAAUUCUUGUCUACCAGAAAUGCAAAUUCGUGUGUUUUGAUAAGCAUCUUAAUUGAAUGCACCUGACUCAAGGAAAGCAUUAAAAAAAUAUAUUCAAUCAACGGAAACCAUCUGCUGAGUUCGAAGGCGUCAGUGAACGAUGUGGAAUAAGUUUGAUCGUGAGUUUAACAUCUGAAGAAACCAGAAGAAACUACUUCUACGGGAAACAGUCGCUUCUGAAGCAUGAAAUUCGCCUACCAUUACUUUUUUGGAAUGUUUUAUAUCGUUACAUUUGGUAUACUUUGACAACGUAAGCUUUGUGGAAACAUGGACCGAAUGUUCUCGACAUUCAUACCAUUAUUUUGGGGUUUAUCAAGAGUGUUUAUGAAGCCGUUGUGUGCAGGACGACGCUUUGGUACGUAAAUUCCAUUAAUGUCUUGCGUGGCUGAUUGCAGUGCAGGGAAUCUCUUGGUCAGCAUGGGAUUCCUGCUCAAAGACUUGUGGCGAUGGAAUACAACGACGAACACUCAACUGCUCCAGCAUCAAACAAGCGUCCAAAGAAUGGCAAAAUUGUAUUAGAAACAAAGAGACUCAAACGAAAAACUGUGGAAACAGGCCUUGCUCAGAUUUCGCCUUGAAGUGUUACCAGUGCCAGGGGUCAGAGGCGUAUUGCCAAAAAAACAAGCUCAAGCGAAAUCAAACCUACGACGCCUGCAACAGAUAUCACAACAAGUGCAUUACAAAAACGUUCGAGUUAGAGGCUGACGUGAAAGAAGUGACUAGGGGCUGUGGAAAUGAGGUUGAGUGUAGAAUAUCGGCAGAGAGGUGCAAGAAAAAGGCGUAUCCUCGUUACAGGUGUCAUGUCAGCUGCUGCGAAGAGGAUUACUGUAAUAAGGGCGAUCUGUUAGAUGGACUGCUUUCUGACUCGGUAGUUCUCCUGGGCGCUGUAUUAUCCUUAACAAUGCAUUUUCAUUGGACUUAUUAAAAAGUGAAAUUUAUUUAAGAGCCGACAGGGUACAGUUUUACCACAUGCGACGAGUUAAGCUUACGGCCAGUGCACUACACGAAUACGCUGUCUGUCUCGUAUUGUGUAAAUCAAAAACCAAAGCAAAUUUAUAUUUGUUUUCAUUAAUCAUUUCGUUUAGUAAACAAGUCACAAUCGUAAGCUCGGUGCAUGCAGCAUAGUUGUACAGCUUUAAUCCGCCCUCAGGCAAACACCUCUCAAAUCCUGCAGUAAGCUGUUUGCUGUUUAAAAGUGUCUGCCUCAAUAAAGAGUGGGACGUCUGAACUAACCUGAUAGUGUGUCUCUGCCGCCGUUGAACACUAUCACGUCACGUGAUCAGUUUACACCAAUAAGAAUCGGAGAAAAUUUAGAGGUGAACUUCGGCCUCUUCAACUAUCACCGCAUAGAAAUCUCUGGCUGCUUUAAAUUAUUCAGUCCUCCGGCUCUUUAAACCUGAGAACACACGCAAAAAAAUAAAUGAAGAAACAAUGUGCCACAUUUGAAAUCUGAUCGCUGGAUUCAGAGUUCAGAGUGCUGGCAAUUACACCAUAUAACUUCCCUCAUUGACUUGCUCUCCGAAAUAGUCAAUCGUAACCUAAAAGCUACAAAUUUGUCAUUGCUAAAAGCGCUUUUUUUACACUGGAAAAGUCCUCAUUGGAUUGCAUAACACGCAACGCACAAAACGACUUUCAGGAAGAGUAAGAGAACAUGAGGAUUGGCUAGAGUUAUAGGCGCAAGUGAUGUUCAGACCUCUCAGCUGAGCUGACAAUGUCAGGUACAGUCGAACCUCCACACAACGGCUUCCUUGGGACAGAUGGAAAAUGGCUGUUGUAGAGUGGUGGCCGUUAUGGAGAGGUAAAAGGUGUAAUAUGCCCCCUUUUUGGAUGGAGGUUGCGACAUUUUUGUAUAAAAAUACCUUUGUAGUAAAUAAGUCAGUAUAUAAAACAAUCAAAGUGUAUCUAUAAAAAAACAAACCAAACAGAAACAGAGACGAACCACGGGUCGUAUGGAUCAAGUUUGGUAACCUUUUACAACAUAACGUGACACCGUUCACCAGUUGUUAAGUUACCGGGCGUUGUCAAGAAGUCAUUUGGCAGUUCGAUUGCACUUUUCUGGCUGUUACCGUUGUGAAGGAAGUGGCCCACGUGGCCGUUGUAGAGGGGUCGACUUUAUUUCCAGAAUCAGCGAUUUCCUUCAGACAUUAAACUCACUGUUAGUUGACGCCUUGUUUGGGGGCUAAAUUCAAUCAAUCUAGAUUGCUUACUCGUACAGGUGUCACCUUAAAUUGAGCGUAAACUUGAAACGUUACUCGUCGACCUUGUCAGGUCCCAGCUCUUACCUAUUUGAAUUGGUACGGUGCAACAGCAGCAGAAACGUUUGCAAAAAAAAAAAAAAGCAUACAUAUAAAAAUAAGGUCCCACCGAGAUUUGAACUCGGAUCGCUGGAUUCAAAGUCCAGAGUGCUAACCAUUACACCAUGGGACCACACGUGUGCUGGAGACACACUAAUCCAACCUAUAAGUAGAAGCCAUCAGUUUCGAGAGGCUUGUAGAUUCAAAUAUUCACUUGCUUUGGUUGAUGUGUCGUCGUACAAAUCAAAGAUCACCUCUACUUCAUGUCGGGAUUUACCAGUAAGAUAACAACUUUUAAUUUCGAAAAUAUUCUGAUUUCAUCAGAAUCCGGUUAUAUUUUGGACAAAGUCAAGUGUUUGAAAAUUUGGCAUCUGAAAAACAUCUAAUUAAGGUAAU
This is an unclassified non-coding RNA of Orbicella faveolata, 4396 nucleotides long. Lineage: Eukaryota; Metazoa; Cnidaria; Anthozoa; Scleractinia; Merulinidae. The record is from RefSeq and is a predicted model, not a curated record.